Molecule: long non-coding RNA, 753 nt
Organism: Eriocheir sinensis (Chinese mitten crab)
Lineage: Eukaryota; Metazoa; Arthropoda; Malacostraca; Decapoda; Varunidae
Exons: 3
Source: RefSeq, a predicted model, not a curated record
UAAGUAAAUAAGAUAAGUAAGAUAGAUAAGUAAAUAAGAUAAACAAGUAAAUAAGACAAGUAAGUAAGAUAGAUAAAAAUAAAUAAGAUAGUAAGUCCAAGCAAGAUAGCGCUGAGUAAGUAUGUGCCAAAGUAAGAGUGUGCAAGAAAUGCGCCAACACAAGAACAGUUUAAGAGGCAGAAGACAAGCUGUUAAGAGGUUAGGAAGCUGUUUCUGGGAGGCUAUCAGCAAGUAAGAGUGUACAAGAACAUUAGAGUAAAGUAAGAGUGUACAAGAACAUAAGAGUAAAGUAAGAGUGUGCAAGAACAUUACCAGAACAAGUAUAACAGUUUGAGAGGUAGAGAACAGGUGGUUAAGAGGUUAGGAAGCUAUUUCUGGGAGGCUAUCGGGAAGUAAGAUUAGAGUGUGCAAGAACAUCACCAGAACAAGUAUAACAGUUUGAGAGGUGGACAGGCGAUUAAGAGGUUAGGAAGGUGUUUCUGGGAGGUUGUCAACACCCACACUUAUACACACCCCAACAAGCAUUCCUAGAGGUCACAGUAGUUCAGAGGCGUUAAGUACAUACACAGACAUCUACCGUGCCCACAUACCACAUUUCCUGAGCCUUGGUCCACACACACACAGACAAGCGCUAAAGAUCCUUCACCUGCAAAGAGAAAACAGAGAGGACAGACCAACAAAACAACUGAAUAAAAAACAGGAAAAUAUAAAAUGAGACAAAAUUUAGACAAAACGAUCAAGUAAGUGUUGUGU